RNAcentral lists this ribosomal RNA (462 nucleotides) under Veillonella parvula. RNAcentral's name for it is "bacterial SSU rRNA". It matches the Rfam family "Bacterial small subunit ribosomal RNA", at positions 28 to 467 of the family's 1533-position model. Lineage: Bacteria; Bacillati; Bacillota; Negativicutes; Veillonellales; Veillonellaceae. The record is from RNAcentral.
GACGAACGCUGGCGGCGUGCUUAACACAUGCAAGUCGAACGAAGAGCGAUGGAAGCUUGCUUCUAUCAAUCUUAGUGGCGAACGGGUGAGUAACGCGUAAUCAACCUGCCCUUCAGAGGGGGACAACAGUUGGAAACGACUGCUAAUACCGCAUACGAUCUAAUCUCGGCAUCGAGGAUAGAUGAAAGGUGGCCUCUACAUGUAAGCUAUCACUGAAGGAGGGGAUUGCGUCUGAUUAGCUAGUUGGAGGGGUAACGGCCCACCAAGGCGAUGAUCAGUAGCCGGUCUGAGAGGAUGAACGGCCACAUUGGGACUGAGACACGGCCCAGACUCCUACGGGAGGCAGCAGUGGGGAAUCUUCCGCAAUGGACGAAAGUCUGACGGAGCAACGCCGCGUGAGUGAUGACGGCCUUCGGGUCGUAAAGCUCUGUUAAUCGGGACGAAAGGCCUUCUUGCGAAUGU